UGGGGAAUUGUUCGCAAUGGGCGAAAGCCUGACGACGCAACGCCGCGUGGAGGAUGAAGAUCUUCGGGUCGUAAACUCCUGUCGAGCGGGAAGAACGUUUCACGGAUGAAUAAGCCGUGGAAGUGACGGUACCGCUAAAGGAAGCCCCGGCUAACUCCGUGCCAGCAGCCGCGGUAAUACGGGGGGGGCAAGCGUUGUUCGGAAUUACUGGGCGUAAAGGGCUCGUAGGUGGCCAACUAAGUCAGACGUGAAAUCCCCAGGCUCAACUUGGGAACUGCGUCUGAUACUGGAUGGCUUGAAUUCGGGAGAGGGAUGCAGAAUUCCAGGUGUAGCGGUGAAAUGCGUAGAUAUCGUCAAGAACACCUAUUGCGAAGGCAGCUAACUAAGCUUUAACUGACGCUGAGGCACGAAAGUGUGGGGAUCAAACAGGAUUAGAUACCCUGGUAGUCCACACUGUAAACGUUGAUUACUCGCUGUUGGCAAUACACAGUCAGC
RNAcentral lists this ribosomal RNA (495 nucleotides) under uncultured bacterium. RNAcentral's name for it is "bacterial SSU rRNA". It matches the Rfam family "Bacterial small subunit ribosomal RNA", at positions 355 to 844 of the family's 1533-position model. The record is from RNAcentral.